Molecule: ribosomal RNA, 253 nt
Filed under: uncultured bacterium
Lineage: Bacteria
Description: partial 16S ribosomal RNA
Rfam family: Bacterial small subunit ribosomal RNA
Source: RNAcentral
UACGAAGGGCCCAAGCGUUAUCCGGAUUUAUUGGGUUUAAAGGGUGCGUAGGCGGGUUAUUAAGUCAGUGGUGAAAGCUCCAUGCCUAACAUGGAAAUUGCCAUUGAUACUGAUGAUCUUGAGUACAUUUGAAGUGGGCGGAAUGUGUCAUGUAGUGGUGAAAUACUUAGAUAUGACACAGAACACCGAUUGCGUAGGCAGCUCACUAAACUGUAACUGACGCUGAGGCACGAAAGCGUGGGGAGCAAACAGG